This 1001-nucleotide ribosomal RNA is filed under the name uncultured fungus. RNAcentral's name for it is "eukaryotic LSU rRNA". The stretch from base 352 to 1001 matches the Rfam family "Eukaryotic large subunit ribosomal RNA", at positions 1 to 664 of the family's 3401-position model. Lineage: Eukaryota; Fungi. The record is from RNAcentral.
AUCGAUGAAGAACGCAGCGAAAUGCGAUAAGUAAUGUGAAUUGCAGAAUUCAGUGAAUCAUCGAAUCUUUGAACGCACCUUGCGCCCGCUGGUAUUCCGGCGGGCAUGCCCGUUUGAGUGUCUUGAAACCAUCAACCCCCCGUCUUUGCGGGCGCGGGGGUUGGACGUGGGGGACUUGCUGCGCGCGAGCGCGGCUCCCCUUAAAUGCAUCGGUUGGGCUUGGGAUCGCCUGCGUGCCUCUGGCGUUGUAUCUACCUCGCUUGCUGGCCAUCGGCUUUCCCCUUGCGCGCUCGGCCUUGACCUUGCCUCUGGAGUGGCAGUCGACUUUGACGGUUUUUCCGUUCUUUCUUCUGACCUCAAAUCGGGUAGGACUACCCGCUGAACUUAAGCAUAUCAAUAAGCGGAGGAAAAGAAACUAACAAGGAUUCCCCUAGUAACUGCGAGUGAAGCGGGAAGAGCUCAAAUUUGAAAUCUGGCGGGUACCCCGUCCGAGUUGUAAUCUGGAGAAGCGUUUUCCGCGCUGGACCGUGUACAAGUCCCUUGGAACAGGGCGUCAUAGAGGGUGAGAAUCCCGUCUACGACACGGACCGCCAGUGCUGUGCGAUGCGCUCUCGAAGAGUCGAGUUGUUUGGGAAUGCAGCUCAAAACGGGUGGUAAAUUCCAUCUAAAGCUAAAUAUUGGCGAGAGACCGAUAGCGAACAAGUACCGUGAGGGAAAGAUGAAAAGCACUUUGGAAAGAGAGUGAAACAGUACGUGAAAUUGUUGAAAGGGAAACGCUUGAAGUCAGUCGCGUCUGCCGGAACUCAGCCUUGCUUCUGCUUGGUGCACUUUCCGGCCUGACGGGCCAGCAUCGGUUUCGAGCGGCGGACAAUGGCGAGGGGAAGGUGGCAGCUCCGGCUGUGUUAUAGCCCCUCGUCGCAAACGCCGCACGGGACCGAGGAAUCCGGCGCAAGCCUGGGAUGCUGGCGUAAUGGCUUUAAACGACCCGUCUUGAAACACGG